GAGGCAGCAGUAGAGAAUCUGUGCAAUAAACGAAAGUAUGACACAGAGAGGACACAUUUAAUUGAGCCCGUCAAAUUAAGUGCCAGCCGACGCGGUUAAACUUAAGGGCUGGUCUUUAUAAGUAAAAAGGCGUAAAGGAUGUGUAGGCCAAGAAACGACCCAAGAAGGUAAAUGGAAUUUUUCUGGAGCGGUAGAAUGUGAGGAUAGAAAAUAGAACCCCUAAGGUUAAAACUAUUUACCACAAGGUAGGCUGAAACAUGAGUGUGUGGGGAGCAAACAGGAUUAGAGACCCUGGUAGUCCACACUGUGAACUUUGAAGAUGAUGCUUAGCAGACCCGAAAGGUAAAAUCUUCCGCCUGAGUAGUACGAUCGCAAGAUUAAAAUUCAAAAACUUUGGCUGUUCACUAUUUCGAUUAGAGGAGCGUGUAGUUUAAUUCGAUGGUCCGCGUGUUACCUUACCCCAACUUGAAUCUGUGACCGGUAUUGCAUGGCCGUCGUAAGUUCGUGUAUUAAGCUAGAAGGGACCCAACCCGGGCAUUUGCCCGGAGGAAGUCAGGUCUUAUGAUCCGAAUGUUGGGGGAUUUUAUGCGCUACAUUUUCUUAUAUAAUGGGAGACCUGGAAGGUGAGCCUCUAAAGUAAGAGUUCGGAAGGUCGCUGUAAGACGACUGGAAGUUGGAUUUAAUAGUAAUCGGAAAGUAGGGCGUUCCGGUGAAUUGGUACAAGUGUUAGCACAAAUUGCCCGUCGCCUUUACCUAGAAUGGUUAUUCGGACGUCUUCGGG
RNAcentral lists this ribosomal RNA (781 nucleotides) under Urticina crassicornis (mottled anemone). RNAcentral describes it as "partial small subunit ribosomal RNA". It matches the Rfam family "Bacterial small subunit ribosomal RNA", at positions 345 to 1434 of the family's 1533-position model. The record is from RNAcentral. Lineage: Eukaryota; Metazoa; Cnidaria; Anthozoa; Actiniaria; Actiniidae. RNAcentral also lists the same sequence under 6 other names.